UACAGGGGGUGCAAACGUUGCUCGGAAUUAUUGGGCGUAAAGCGCGCGUAGGCGGCUACUUAAGUCGGAUGUGAAAGCCCUUGGCUCAACUGAGGAAGUGCACCCGAAACUGAGUGGCUUGAGUACCAAAGAGGGUCGCGGAAUUCCCGGUGUAGAGGUGAAAUUCGUAGAUAUCGGGAGGAACACCGGUGGCGAAGGCGGCGACCUGGGUGGAUACUGACGCUGAGGAGCGAAAGCGUGGGGAGCGAACAGG
This 253-nucleotide ribosomal RNA is filed under the name uncultured bacterium. Its description in RNAcentral is "partial 16S ribosomal RNA". It matches the Rfam family "Bacterial small subunit ribosomal RNA", at positions 524 to 776 of the family's 1533-position model. The record is from RNAcentral.